AUGAAAACCUAAACCACACUUUUUCAGCGACUCCACGGCUCGCAACCAUCUGGCUCCGGAGCGAUUACAACCCUUCAGAUCAAACGCGCCACUAUCUUUCUUCUAAGGAAGGAGCAAAUUUAGCGGGGCUGCCCUGAUCAAACGCAGAAAAGGGGAGGGCACGGAAUGGAAGCCUGUAAGACCAGGAUAACACAGCCUCUGAAGAAUGGAAGACUAGCAGCUGAUCACUUCAAGAGUAAAGAAUGAGAAGAACAGAACACUCAACACUGCUUUGGAGCUGUAGCUGAUCAGACACCUAAGGAAUUCAGUCAGCAGAGUUCUGUACAGGCUGAUCCACAUCAGGCCAGGCACAAGAUCAAGGCUUUAGCUUCAGUCACUGCUGCCGUCCAUCCAGUUGGCUUCUUUGAGCUCCAUCUCUUCAAUCAUGAAAAAGUAUUCAUGUACAACAUUUGCUUUUGUUUGUUAUUGUUCUUUUGUUUUUCAUUGUCCUCCUUUCCGAAGCCUUCCUCCAAUCAAUGGGAAACCAGAAACAUGUUGUAGGAGGCAACAAUGAGCAACAAACUUAAAACUGUCAGAAAUAUUAGUUAUACAGAGGGUGUAGGCUGAAAAUUGUUUAGAUAAUGUAUUUGGCAAACAAAGCCAAAAAUAUAAUGCUUUUGAACACAGAAUACGUUUAUACAAAAUGGGACUGAUUCCCAAAGAACUUGGAAACAGAAAAAAAGAUGGAAAUGUAAU
Hemicordylus capensis (graceful crag lizard) is the source of this 735-nucleotide long non-coding RNA. RefSeq lists it as uncharacterized. The transcript is spliced from 3 exons. NCBI's taxonomy places the organism in Eukaryota, Metazoa, Chordata, Lepidosauria, Squamata, Cordylidae. The record is from RefSeq and is a predicted model, not a curated record.